GAUCCUGGCUCAGGAUGAACGCUAGCUACAGGCUUAACACAUGCAAGUCGAGGGGCAGCAUGUUGGUUGCUUGCAACCAACGAUGGCGACCGGCGCACGGGUGAGUAACGCGUAUCCAACCUACCCUUGUCCAUCGGAUAACCCGUCGAAAGGCGGCCUAACACGAUAUGCGGUUCUCAGCAGGCAUCUAACGGAGAANAAUAAGAAGAGAG
RNAcentral lists this ribosomal RNA (212 nucleotides) under uncultured bacterium. RNAcentral's name for it is "partial 16S ribosomal RNA". It matches the Rfam family "Bacterial small subunit ribosomal RNA", at positions 15 to 214 of the family's 1533-position model. The record is from RNAcentral.